Molecule: ribosomal RNA, 253 nt
Filed under: uncultured bacterium
Lineage: Bacteria
Description: partial 16S ribosomal RNA
Rfam family: Bacterial small subunit ribosomal RNA
Source: RNAcentral
UACAGAGGGGGCAGGCGUUGUUCGGAAUUACUGGGCGUAAAGGGCGCGUAGGCGGCCUGUUAAGUCGGACGUGAAGUCCCUCGGCUCAACCGGGGAACUGCGUCCGAUACUGGCGGGCUUGAAUUCGGGAGAGGGAUGUGGAAUUCCAGGUGUAGCGGUGAAAUGCGUAGAUAUCUGGAGGAACACCGGUGGCGAAGGCGGCAUCCUGGACCGACAUUGACGCUGAGGCGCGAAAGCCAGGGGAGCAAACGGG